GAGCAUCGUAGCCAGGAUGGCAGGCGAU
Molecule: small RNA, 28 nt
Filed under: Bombyx mori (domestic silkworm)
Lineage: Eukaryota; Metazoa; Arthropoda; Insecta; Lepidoptera; Bombycidae
Description: ovarian small RNA-15774
Source: RNAcentral